Molecule: small RNA, 122 nt
Filed under: unclassified sequences
Description: LOOT RNA
Rfam family: LOOT RNA
About the family: Latescibacteria, OD1/Parcubacteria, OP11, TM7. Lineage (Microgenomates, aka OP11)
Source: Rfam by way of RNAcentral
GACCUAACCCUCAGGAUAAUUCUUGAGGUAUGGUCGAAAAGCGCGAUCAACGUAAAAACCCCGGCAUCAGGGGCGUUGAUCGCGUUACGUGGGGAAACCUGCGUAGGGGCCGUAAGGCUCAC